Molecule: ribosomal RNA, 465 nt
Filed under: Vreelandella stevensii
Lineage: Bacteria; Pseudomonadati; Pseudomonadota; Gammaproteobacteria; Oceanospirillales; Halomonadaceae
Description: partial 16S ribosomal RNA
Rfam family: Bacterial small subunit ribosomal RNA
Source: RNAcentral
CCUACGGGUGGCAGCAGUGGGGAAUAUUGGACAAUGGGGGCAACCCUGAUCCAGCCAUGCCGCGUGUGUGAAGAAGGCCCUCGGGUUGUAAAGCACUUUCAGUGAGGAAGAACGCCUGGUGGUUAAUACCCAUCAGGAAAGACAUCACUCACAGAAGAAGCACCGGCUAACUCCGUGCCAGCAGCCGCGGUAAUACGGAGGGUGCGAGCGUUAAUCGGAAUUACUGGGCGUAAAGCGCGCGUAGGUGGCUUGAUAAGCCGGUUGUGAAAGCCCCGGGCUCAACCUGGGAACGGCAUCCGGAACUGUCAAGCUAGAGUGCAGGAGAGGAAGGUAGAAUUCCCGGUGUAGCGAUGAAAUGCGUAGAGAUCGGGAGGAAUACCAGUGGCGAAGGCGGCCUUCUGGACUGACACUGACACUGAGGUGCGAAAGCGUGGGUAGCAAACAGGAUUAGAUACCCUGGUAGUC